AGCUCCCUGAGGUGGCCAAACCACAAGUGAGGGUCAUCCCACUGCAAGCAGUGCCCUCAGUGACAAGGCACGGGCCCACAGGACGCACACUCAGUGGGCAGGGUGCUGGCAAGAGCGCACAUCACAUCAGCAGUCCCAGAGAAGCUGAGGUGAUGAACCAGAACCAUCCAGGAAGAAGACUUUCUUGUCAUCUUGGUGUAGAUUCUAAAGAGCUCUUCCCUGCAAAUAUAAGUUCUCACUAAAGAAGGUUGUUUUAUCAGAAGAACAAAGGAUGUUGACCAUAACAAUUACAGCAGCAUUAAAAAAAAACAAGGGCCUGGGCUAUCUGCAUGACAA
Cyanistes caeruleus (blue tit) is the source of this 336-nucleotide long non-coding RNA. RefSeq lists it as uncharacterized. NCBI's taxonomy places the organism in Eukaryota, Metazoa, Chordata, Aves, Passeriformes, Paridae. The record is from RefSeq and is a predicted model, not a curated record.